This 454-nucleotide long non-coding RNA is filed under the name Homo sapiens (human). RNAcentral's name for it is "non-protein coding lnc-VCPIP1-1:1". Lineage: Eukaryota; Metazoa; Chordata; Mammalia; Primates; Hominidae. The record is from RNAcentral.
UCUCAAACCGACAGUGUGCUCUGUGACCCAAGGCAAGUCUUGGAGCCUUUCAAGGCCUCAAUUUCUUCUGUAACCUUGUGGUUUCACAAUUGUCAACCUUUUGUUCUGCCGACCAUUGUCGUCAUAGUCUUACUUGCAGAGGGCAUAGUGCUGAUGGGACAAGUGACAUGGGUAUGAGCCCCAUGUAAACUAAAACAUAAUUACCUUUCCUUUAGGUGUUGGCUACAGUUAUCCCAAACUUGGACUUGAGGUCUUGUAUAUGCAUGCCAUUGGUCACAUACCAUCAGAAUAGAAUUCUCAAAAACUCUUUAGUAAAUAAGAUAAACAUCCUACUUAUAACAGCUCAUUAUGGAUUUUAUUUUUAUUGUCUGGCUCUUUCAGACCCCAGCAACUGCAAUUCUGACUUAAUAAUCAAUUGUUUCUAAUCAUUAAAAAUGUAUAUAGAAAAACUGAA